GGGGGUGUCAGUUUCGACAAAGAACGUAUUUGGUCAUGCGCAGCGCCGAGCAUGUUCGCAAGCUCGUAAAAAACAUGAACGACUUGAAAGUGCCAAGAAUAAAAGCACCGGUGGAGUUGCGACGCCUUAUUUCAAGGCCAACAGCUUUGCUUUCGCUUACGCUUAAGUGAGCGACGUGGAACGGGAGUACUCCUGAUAGGUCCGUCCUCCAUGUCAUUCUUUCAGGAUAGGAGCGUACCGCCUGGAUACGCCACCAAAACCAAACAGGCGUAGCAUGUAAAGAUUUCGUUUUUCUUUUACUUUGCGUGCGAAUCACCAAGAUAAACUACGCGCCGUAGACCCAUGAUCACUGCUUCUUUGGACGGGAGUUCAAUCUCCCCACCUCCACCA
Molecule: transfer-messenger RNA, 390 nt
Filed under: bacterium
Lineage: Bacteria
Rfam family: transfer-messenger RNA
About the family: Bacterial tmRNA, also known as 10Sa RNA or SsrA, is named for its dual tRNA and mRNA-like properties. Its role is to liberate the mRNA from a stalled ribosome. To accomplish this part of the tmRNA is used as a reading frame that ends in a translation stop signal.
Source: RNAcentral